GUCUAUGGCCAUGCCACCCUGAAUGUGCCCAAUCCCAUCUGAUCUCAUGAAGCUAAGCAGGGUCGGGCCUGGUUAGUACUUGGAUGGGAGACCACCUAGGAAUACCAGGUGCAGUAGGCA
Molecule: ribosomal RNA, 120 nt
Filed under: Pteropus alecto (black flying fox)
Lineage: Eukaryota; Metazoa; Chordata; Mammalia; Chiroptera; Pteropodidae
Source: RNAcentral